UAACACAUGCAAGUCGAACGGUAGCACAGAGGAGCUUGCUCCUUGGGUGACGAGUGGCGGACGGGUGAGUAAUGUCUGGGAAACUGCCCGAUGGAGGGGGAUAACUACUGGAAACGGUAGCUAAUACCGCAUAACGUCGCAAGACCAAAGAGGGGGACCUUCGGGCCUCUUGCCAUCGGAUGUGCCCAGAUGGGAUUAGCUAGUAGGUGGGGUAACGGCUCACCUAGGCGACGAUCCCUAGCUGGUCUGAGAGGAUGACCAGCCACACUGGAACUGAGACACGGUCCAGACUCCUACGGGAGGCAGCAGUGGGGAAUAUUGCACAAUGGGCGCAAGCCUGAUGCAGCCAUGCCGCGUGUAUGAAGAAGGCCUUCGGGUUGUAAAGUACUUUCAGCGAGGAGGAAGGUGUUGAGGUUAAUAACCUCAGCAAUUGACGUUACUCGCAGAAGAAGCACCGGCUAACUCCGUGCCAGCAGCCGCGGUAGUACGGAGGGUGCAAGCGUUAAUCGGAAUUACUGGGCGUAAAGCGCACGCAGGCGGUCUGUCAAGUCGGAUGUGGAAUCCCCGGGCUCAACCUGGGAACUGCAUCCGAAACUGGCAGGCUAGAGUCUUGUAGAGGGGGGUAGAAUUCCAGGUGUAGCGGUGAAAUGCGUAGAGACCUGGAGGAAUACCGGUGGCGAAGGCGGCCCCCUGGACAAAGACUGACGCUCAGGUGCGAAAGCGUGGGGAGCAAACAGGAUUAGAUACCCUGGUAGUCCACGCCGUAAACGAUGUCGACUUGGAGGUUGUGCCCUUGAGGCGUGGCUUCCGGAGCUAACGCGUUAAGUCGACCGCCUGGGGAGUACGGCCGCAAGGUUAAAACUCAAAUGAAUUGACGGGGCCCGCACAAGCGGUGGAGCAUGUGGUUUAAUUCGAUGCAACGCGAAGAACCUUACCUACUCUUGGCAUCCACGGAACUUGCCAGAGAUGGCUUGGUGCCUUCGGGAACCGUGAGACAGGUGCUGCAUGGCUGUCGUCAGCUCGUGUUGUGAAAUGUUGGGUUAAGUCCCGCAACGAGCGCAACCCUUAUCCUUUGUUGCCAGCGGUUAGGCCGGGAACUCAAAGGAGACUGCCAGUGAUAAACUGGAGGAAGGUGGGGAUGACGUCAAGUCAUCAUGGCCCUUACGAGUAGGGCUACACACGUGCUACAAUGGCAUAUACAAAGAGAAGCGACCUCGCGAGAGCAAGCGGACCUCAUAAAGUAUGUCGUAGUCCGGAUUGGAGUCUGCAACUCGACUCCAUGAAGUCGGAAUCGCUAGUAAUCGUGGAUCAGAAUGCCACGGUGAAUACGUUCCCGGGCCUUGUACACACCGCCCGUCACACCAUGGGAGUGGGUUGCAAAAAAAGUAGGUAGCUUAACCUUCGGGAGGGCGCUUACCACUUUGUGAUUCAUGACUGGGGUG
This 1442-nucleotide ribosomal RNA is filed under the name uncultured Enterobacteriaceae bacterium. Its description in RNAcentral is "bacterial SSU rRNA". It matches the Rfam family "Bacterial small subunit ribosomal RNA". Lineage: Bacteria; Pseudomonadati; Pseudomonadota; Gammaproteobacteria; Enterobacterales; Enterobacteriaceae. The record is from RNAcentral.